GUGGGGAGCGAACAGGAUUAGAUCCCCUGGUAGUCCACGCCGUAAACGAUGAAUGCCAGCCGUUGGGGUGCAUGCACUUCAGUGGCGCAGCUAACGCUUUAAGCAUUCCGCCUGGGGAGUACGGUCGCAAGAUUAAAACUCAAAGGAAUUGACGGGGGCCCGCACAAGCGGCGGAGCAUGCGGAUUAAUUCGAUGCAACGCGAAGAACCUUACCUGGGUUUGACAUA
This 227-nucleotide ribosomal RNA is filed under the name Pycnococcus provasolii. RNAcentral's name for it is "partial Bacterial small subunit ribosomal RNA". It matches the Rfam family "Bacterial small subunit ribosomal RNA", at positions 761 to 988 of the family's 1533-position model. The record is from RNAcentral. Lineage: Eukaryota; Viridiplantae; Chlorophyta; Pseudoscourfieldiophyceae; Pseudoscourfieldiales; Pycnococcaceae.